RNAcentral lists this unclassified non-coding RNA (329 nucleotides) under soil metagenome. RNAcentral's name for it is "partial contains 5.8S ribosomal RNA, internal transcribed spacer 2, and large subunit ribosomal RNA". The stretch from base 1 to 120 matches the Rfam family "5.8S ribosomal RNA", at positions 35 to 154 of the family's 154-position model. The record is from RNAcentral.
GAUGAAGAACGCAGCGAAAUGCGAUAAGUAAUGUGAAUUGCAGAAUUCAGUGAAUCAUCGAAUCUUUGAACGCACAUUGCGCCCUCUGGUAUUCCGGGGGGCAUGCCUGUUCGAGCGUCAUUAUAACCACUCAAGCUCUCGCUUGGUAUUGGGGCUCGCGGUUCCGCGGCCCCUAAAAUCAGUGGCGGUGCCUGUCGGCUCUACGCGCAGUAAUACUCCUCGCGAUUGAGUCCGGUAGGUCUACUUGCCAGCAACCCCCAAUUUUUACAGGUUGACCUCGGAUCAGGUAGGGAUACCCGCUGAACUUAAGCAUAUCAAUAAGCGGAGGA